ACCGUGAGGCGAACCUCAGCCGGUUUCCCAGCCCCGCCGAGGCCCGCUGGGGCGAAGCGGAGCCCCGGGGGGCCCUGAGGAAACCGGCGCGGGUUCGUUUAAUUACGCCCUUCUCGCCAGACCUCUGGCUGGCCCUGAGCUGCUCAGAAGCCCAUCUGCGCGGCAUGCCCGUGCGAUCUGAGACAACUGGCAGCUGUCUUCCUUUGCAAAACGAGACUGUUAAUAAAACCUACCCCAGGGUAGGACGGACUGUUCGCAGAUGAAUGGAUAAGCAACCUGGAGCAUAUCCAUACAAUGGAAUACUACUGAGCAAGAUGAAAGAACAAACUGCUGAUACACACAGCAACACAUCUGACUCUCAAGUGAAGAAAGCCCCUUUCAAGAGGCUGCAU
This 392-nucleotide long non-coding RNA is filed under the name Homo sapiens (human). Its description in RNAcentral is "HSALNT0310015". Lineage: Eukaryota; Metazoa; Chordata; Mammalia; Primates; Hominidae. The record is from RNAcentral.